AACGAACGCUGGCGGCAGGCUUAACACAUGCAAGUCGAGCGCCCCGCAAGGGGAGCGGCAGACGGGUGAGUAACGCGUGGGAACGUACCUUUUGGUUCGGAACAACUCCGGGAAACUGGAGCUAAUACCGGAUAAGCCCUAACGGGGAAAGAUUUAUCGCCGAAAGAUCGGCCCGCGUCUGAUUAGCUAGUUGGUGAGGUAACGGCUCACCAAGGCGACGAUCAGUAGCUGGUCUGAGAGGAUGAUCAGCCACACUGGGACUGAGACACGGCCCAGACUCCUACGGGAGGCAGCAGAGGGGAAUAUUGGACAAUGGGCGCAAGCCUGAUCCAGCCAUGCCGCGUGAGUGAUGAAGGCCUUAGGGUUGUAAAGCUCUUUUGUCCGGGAAGAUAAUGACUGUACCGGAAGAAUAAGCCCCGGCUAACUUCGUG
RNAcentral lists this ribosomal RNA (431 nucleotides) under uncultured bacterium. RNAcentral's name for it is "partial 16S ribosomal RNA". It matches the Rfam family "Bacterial small subunit ribosomal RNA", at positions 29 to 507 of the family's 1533-position model. The record is from RNAcentral.